GACGAACGCUGGCGGCGUGCUUAACACAUGCAAGUCGAACGGAAAGGCCCUGCUUUUGUGGGGUGCUCGAGUGGCGAACGGGUGAGUAACACGUGAGUAACCUGCCCUUGACUUUGGGAUAACUUCAGGAAACUGGGGCUAAUACCGGAUAGGAGCUCCUGCUGCAUGGUGGGGGGUGGAAAGUUUCGGCGGUUGGGGAUGGACUCGCGGCUUAUCAGCUUGUUGGUGGGGUAGUGGCUUACCAAGGCUUUGACGGGUAGCCGGCCUGAGAGGGUGACCGGCCUCAUUGGGACUGCGAUACGGCCCAGACUCCUACGGGAGGCAGCAGUGGGGAAUAUUGCACAAUGGGCGGAAGCCUGAUGCAGCAACGCCGCGUGCGGGAUGACGGCCUUCGGGUUGUAAACCGCUUUCGCCUGUGACGAAGCGUGAGUGACGGUAAUGGGUAAAGAAGCACCGGCUAACUACGUG
RNAcentral lists this ribosomal RNA (468 nucleotides) under uncultured bacterium. Its description in RNAcentral is "partial 16S ribosomal RNA". It matches the Rfam family "Bacterial small subunit ribosomal RNA", at positions 28 to 507 of the family's 1533-position model. The record is from RNAcentral.